AUUGAACGCUGGCGGCAGGCCUAACACAUGCAAGUCGAACGAGUGGCGGACGGGUGAGUAAUGUCUGGGAACCUGCCUGAUGGAGGGGGAUAACUACUGGAAACGGUAGCUAAUACCGCAUACCAUCAGAUGUGCCCAGAUGGGAUUAGCGAGUUGGGGGGGUAACGGCGCACCAAGGCGACGAUCCCUAGCUGGUCUGAGAGGAUGACCAGCCCCACUGGAACUGAGACACGGCCCAGACUCUUACGGGAGGCAGCAGGGGGGAAUAUCGCACAAGGGGCGCAAUCCUGAUGCAGCCAUGCCGCGUGUAGGAAGAAGGCCUUCGGGUUUUAAAGUACUUUCAGCGGGGAGGCGUUACCCGCAGAAGAAGCACCGGCUAACUCCGUGCCAGCAGCCGCGGUAAUUC
This 406-nucleotide ribosomal RNA is filed under the name uncultured bacterium. RNAcentral describes it as "partial 16S ribosomal RNA". It matches the Rfam family "Bacterial small subunit ribosomal RNA", at positions 29 to 526 of the family's 1533-position model. The record is from RNAcentral.